Molecule: unclassified non-coding RNA, 281 nt
Filed under: Hevea brasiliensis (rubber tree)
Lineage: Eukaryota; Viridiplantae; Streptophyta; Magnoliopsida; Malpighiales; Euphorbiaceae
Source: RNAcentral
CUCAAAGUCACUCUCUUUUGUUUGUGCUAAAGUUGGUACAGCUAAAAGUUUAAGCAAUUUUAUUCUACAUUAUGAAUGACGCAAAUGCCAACAAGCAACUACACAAAGAAAAUCUUUCUGGAAAUAUUAGAAACUGAAACACAGUUAAUGGUUGGAAGUUCAAAUUUAUAAGCACCUGAAAAAGAAAAAUCAAACCUUUCUCUUUUGCCCCUCCUUAGUCCAUCAAGUAGCCAUUAAUAUAAUGUGCAGGCACAGAUCUCAGAAAGAGCAGCGAGAAGGAG